CUACUGGGUGGUUGUCAGUGUUAAGUAGCGAUCCUUGCAUGCGCUGAGCUAACAUCAUGUGAUGGGACUGUGUUUCAUCUGGGCUUCCACGGCUACGGAGCUAAAAGCUUGAGAAAUUCACUAACAAAGAGCACCCUGCGGCUGCAACAGCUGAAUCCAAUUCCGCCUCCACCCUUUGAGGACAACACCCCGGUGACCCUCAGGUCAAGAGGUUUAUAACCUGAGGAAGCCUGGCGGUCACGUGACCUGCAGGUGACGACACACUGGAUUUCUUAUGACGCAGCAGCACUCUGUAGCUAUAUGUCUCUGAGCGGAGGCUGUCGGUGGUUCGGGAUUGGAAAGGAGCUGUCACGCUUGCAAUGACUAACCCAUGACGACUGUUACAUCACAAAGGUUCUUGGGGACCUGUUGUACAAGAAUAUUGUGGAGCUUGCUAAUAACAAUUUGCAAAAAGAUUUUUUUAAUAGAGAUUUUAAAAAAUCUGCCUUUGUAGAAAUGAAAGGGAUAUUGAUAUGAUUUUGACAUAUAAUCAGUAAAAUUACGUAUUGAAAGAACUAAUCAGUCCCUCCAGGAAUUCGUGAUGUCGCGAUCACAACAAUUCACGCAAAUUCAACCAAUCACCGUGA
This is a long non-coding RNA of Sander lucioperca (pikeperch), 626 nucleotides long. RefSeq lists it as uncharacterized. The transcript is spliced from 3 exons. The record is from RefSeq and is a predicted model, not a curated record. Lineage: Eukaryota; Metazoa; Chordata; Actinopteri; Perciformes; Percidae.